GGGUGCGUCGCAUAGCGGCAAUUGCAUCUCGCUGUAGACGAGACGCCUUUAUGGCUCCGGGGGUUCGAGUCCCUCCGCACCCA
Molecule: transfer RNA, 83 nt
Filed under: bacterium
Lineage: Bacteria
Description: tRNA-Tyr
Rfam family: tRNA
About the family: Transfer RNA (tRNA) molecules are approximately 80 nucleotides in length. Their secondary structure includes four short double-helical elements and three loops (D, anti-codon, and T loops). Further hydrogen bonds mediate the characteristic L-shaped molecular structure. tRNAs have two regions of fundamental functional importance: the anti-codon, which is responsible for specific mRNA codon recognition, and the 3' end, to which the tRNAs corresponding amino acid is attached (by aminoacyl-tRNA synthetases). tRNAs cope with the degeneracy of the genetic code in two manners: having more than one tRNA (with a specific anti-codon) for a particular amino acid; and 'wobble' base-pairing, i.e. permitting non-standard base-pairing at the 3rd anti-codon position.
Source: RNAcentral